RNAcentral lists this ribosomal RNA (460 nucleotides) under uncultured bacterium. RNAcentral describes it as "partial 16S ribosomal RNA". It matches the Rfam family "Bacterial small subunit ribosomal RNA", at positions 338 to 795 of the family's 1533-position model. The record is from RNAcentral.
CCUACGGGCGGCAGCAGUGAGGAAUAUUGGUCAAUGGCCGAGAGGCUGAACCAGCCAAGUCGCGUGAGGGAAGACGGCCCUACGGGUUGUAAACCUCUUUUGUCGGGGAGCAAAGCGAGUCACGUGUGCCUCAUUGAGAGUACCCGAAUAAAAAGCAUCGGCCAACUCCGUGCCAGCAGCCGCGUUAAUACGGAGGAUGCGUGCGUUAUCCUGAUUUACUGGGUGGAAGGGGCGUGCAGCCGGGAAGACAAGUCAGAUGUGAAAUCCCGCGGCUCAACCGCGGAACUGCAUUUGAAACUGUUUUUCUUGAGUAUCGGAGAGGUAAUCGGAAUUCCUGGUGUAGCGGUGAAAUGCGUAGAUAUUAGGAAGAACACCAGUGGCGAAGGCGGAUUACUGGACGACAACUGACGGUGAGGCGCGAAAGCGUGGGGAGCAAACAGGAUUAGAUACCCGUGUAGUC